UCAGCCCUAGUUGCAAGAGUUGUACUUGUACCUUCUCCAUUUUCUCUGUGAUCUAUUUAUUUUACUCUUCUUCUCACUUUUGUCUUUAUGUCUGAGAUAGACGAACACUUAUUUUAUUCUGGGUUCUCUAUAGAUUUUUUAUAUGUAUUUGCUUGUUAUAUGUUUUGGCAAUCUUGUAUUUUUUGAUCUAGAUUCCAUGCUUGAAUUGUAGAUUGUUUUGAUCAAAUCAAGUAUGUACCCCAACUGUUUGAUAACAGUACUCAAUUAGAAACCAUACAUAUUUAGCCUUUCAUUUUGCAAUCACAAAGUCUUAAUGUACUAGACUUUUUUAAAUUUUGGCAGAAUCUUCAAAGUAAUAGACUUGGUGGUGAGAAGUUCGUCAUGAAGGGUUGAUUAUUGAACCCGAUGGAAAUCAUCCUUGCACAUCGAGAAGUAAAGAUGAAUUUGGCUCGUCGUGAGCGAAUCAUGUAACAAUUGGAAAGGAAAGUAACCAGAAGUAAGGAAUAUGCAAUUUUCGAAGCCCAUAAUUUAAAGGAAGAGUGCAUUUCUUACGGUUAUACUUCAUGGCAUCAAGUGCAGAGUAUUGCAAUGGCUGUCACAUAUAUAGAUUACAAAGUCGCAAAAAUCAGUUCAGAAGCUAUGCUUGGAGAUGCUAUGCUUGGAUGGGGCUAUAUUAGGAGAUUCAUGUUGAUUUAAAAAAAAAUUAUGUAUUUUAAUUUCUCUUUAGAAUUACUUUUAAUGUACUAUUUCCGUUCAAGUUCAUUGUAUUUUUACGGUUAAUUUUGAAAGAAUUGAAUUAUAAAAUUAUUUUUAGUUUUUA
Long non-coding RNA from Daucus carota subsp. sativus, 820 nucleotides. RefSeq lists it as uncharacterized. The record is from RefSeq and is a predicted model, not a curated record. The transcript has 3 exons. Lineage: Eukaryota; Viridiplantae; Streptophyta; Magnoliopsida; Apiales; Apiaceae.